GACGAACGCCGGCGGCGUGCUUAACACAUGCAAGUCAAACGGUAAGGCCCUUCGGGGUACACGAGUGGCGAACGGGUGAGUAACACGUGGGUGAUCUGCCCUGCACUUCGGGAUGAGCCUGGGAAACUAGGUCUAAUACCGGAUAGGACCACUGCCUGCAUGGGUGGUGGUGGAAAGCUUUUGCGGUGUGGGAUGGGCCCGCGGCCUAUCAGCUUGUUGGUGGGGUGAUGGCCUACCAAGGCGACGACGGGUAGCCGGCCUGAGAGGGUGACCGGCCACACUGGGACUGAGAUACGGCCCAGACUCCUACGGGAGGCAGCAGUGGGGAAUAUUGCACAAUGGGCGCGAGCCUGAUGCAGCGACGCCGCGUGAGGGAUGACGGCCUUCGGGUUGUAAACCUCUUUCAGCACCGACGAAGCGCAAGUGACGGUAGGUGCAGAAGAAGGACCGGCCAACUACGUGCCAGCCGCCGCGGUAA
RNAcentral lists this ribosomal RNA (478 nucleotides) under uncultured bacterium. RNAcentral describes it as "partial 16S ribosomal RNA". It matches the Rfam family "Bacterial small subunit ribosomal RNA", at positions 28 to 523 of the family's 1533-position model. The record is from RNAcentral.